Molecule: ribosomal RNA, 342 nt
Filed under: Triticum aestivum (bread wheat)
Lineage: Eukaryota; Viridiplantae; Streptophyta; Magnoliopsida; Poales; Poaceae
Description: partial small subunit ribosomal RNA
Source: RNAcentral
AUCAUCACUGAUGCCUCUCCUUCCAUCGUGUGUCUCUCGGAGACCAAGCUAGAUCUUGUCACGCCCGCGGUCACCCUCAAGACGCUCGGCUCUCUCUUCAGUGACUUCUACUGCUUACCGGCCACGGGGACGAGGGGAGGCAUUCUUCUUGCGUGGCGGAUCGACCACGUCAAUCUCUCUAGCCCCUCCAUAGGCUCCUACCAUGUCUCCGCCGUGGUAUCCACCCCAUCAGGCAAGCAUCCCUGGUGGAUUACCGGCGUGUAUGGUCCUCAGUCCGACGAUGACAAGAUGGCUUUCCUUAACGAGCUCCAUGAGCUUCGCGCCACCAUGGCCGGGCCCUAG